UACGGCGGUCAUAGCGUGGGGGAAACGCCCGGUCCCAUUCCGAACCCGGAAG
Molecule: ribosomal RNA, 52 nt
Filed under: Paenarthrobacter aurescens
Lineage: Bacteria; Bacillati; Actinomycetota; Actinomycetes; Micrococcales; Micrococcaceae
Source: RNAcentral